GUUAAAACACAGUUUCUCGUACGAUCACCGAAGUUAAGCAUGGUUGAGCCCUGCUUGUAGUUAAAUGGGUGACCGCUUGAGAAUAUCAUCUGCUGUAA
This is a non-coding RNA of Acanthosepion pharaonis, 98 nucleotides long. The record is from the annotation of a GenBank genome assembly. NCBI's taxonomy places the organism in Eukaryota, Metazoa, Mollusca, Cephalopoda, Sepiida, Sepiidae.